AACGUAGGACGCAAGCGUUAUCCGGAGUUACUGGGCGUAAAGCGCGGGCAGGCGGUCAGUUAAGUCUGAUGUGAAAUCUCCCGGCUCAACCGGGAGCAGCCAUUGGAAACUAGCUGACUGGAGUCUGACAGAGGUAGGCGGAAUUCCGGGUGGAGUGGUGAAAUGCGUAGAGAUCCGGAGGAACACCAGAGGCGAAGGCGGCCUACUGGGUCAGUACUGACGCUGAGCCGCGAAAGCUAGGGGAGCGAACGGG
Molecule: ribosomal RNA, 253 nt
Filed under: uncultured bacterium
Lineage: Bacteria
Description: partial 16S ribosomal RNA
Rfam family: Bacterial small subunit ribosomal RNA
Source: RNAcentral